This is a non-coding RNA of Microcebus murinus (gray mouse lemur), 1694 nucleotides long. NCBI's taxonomy places the organism in Eukaryota, Metazoa, Chordata, Mammalia, Primates, Cheirogaleidae. The record is from RefSeq and is a predicted model, not a curated record.
GACCACUGAUUUAAAACAUAUUAGUUUUAAAAUGUGCUUGUUCUUGUAACAAUUUCUUAAAGUAUUAAAUGCCACAGAAAAAACAUAUAGGCACAUGCUUUCAUUCUACAAUUCCCACUGGGAGAGAAAGUUUACCCAAGUGCUACUGAGAUUUGCUGGGCUCUCUAAAGCGGAAGAGGCUGUGAGGAGGCAGAUUCAAGUCGUUGAGAACAGUGCUAUGUUAAAGAUCAGAAUCCCUGCCUCAAAGCAUUGUCCCAGAGACAUAUGAAACACACAGGUGUUUCACCAUUCUUAGUAGAAUCUGACCUCCGCAAGAGAAGAAACUCCAUCUUGCUAACAGCCAUGUUGUUUCCUUUCUGCCCCAUGCUGUACAAGGCAAAGGAGAGCAGGAAUUGGAAGGCAGAGUAGAUACUCUUCUUCCUUCUCCUGCUGCUGGUACUACCACAAAUACUACCACCUCUUUGGCUUCUAGCUAAGAUUUGCUGGGCAUUUCCUAUUUGCUGGACCUCAUUCUCAGCAUUUAAAGAUAUUAUCUUAUUUAAUCUUUAUAACAACCCUAUCAAGUAGCUAUUAUUAUCUCCAUUUCAUAGACAAAGAGAAAUACAGCAAGAAUACAUAACUAGCCCAAGUUUAUACCACUAGUAACUGGUAGAGUGUCAAUGGUCUAACUAAAUCUCUUUUAUCAGAUAUCUUUUUUUAUCAGAAAAUUAAAGUUUUAACUUACACUCUUCUAAAAAUACUCAUUGAACAUACUCCAACAUGUAACUCCAUAAUAGGGAGACUGAGUAAAUAACUGAGUUGUGUGGCCAACUUUGACCUCCAUAUUUUUCUAUCUCCAAAAAUAGCACAAUCCAUGAUUUUUUACAAAAUAAGGAAGUUUAUAGUCAGGAGCAAAGUAGAGUCAUUUUUCUGCUUCUCUAUUUAGGAAUUGGUCUCUUUUGUUUAGUUGUCUAAAGUAUGUUAAUAAAAAGAGGGAAUUCACAUUCCAUGUCUGGAAAUUUUCUUUUGCUUUGUGUAUCAGGUUUCUUUUGAGAGGACAUUAAAGUAAUUCGAAUUCUUCUGACCCUCGUUCCAGUGUAUGAGGAGGAUAUAAACACCAAAAUCCAAAAGGGCAUAUUAUUGUUUGCUCAUGUUAUAUACCUUGUGCUUGGGGUGAUGAUAUUUUGAGCCUUGGAGAAAUACUCUGAGGUAUAGCAGCAGCAGUUAGCAGUUAAUACAAAAAUCGAUUUUCUACAAAACCAUUCUAAUAUGACCCAAGAAGAUAUUGAACUUUUUCUGCAGGUGUGGACCAGACAGGGAAGAUUAGAGUAGGAACAAGGAAAUCAUGCGGAAAGAAAGAAGGUAGCAGAUGAUAAGGAAGUGGAAGGAGGCGAAAGUCAGAGAAGGGACAAAGGACAACCCAACCACUAUAUGGUGACAUAUAGUUUUGUUGUUAUUAUGGAUGACAUCUUAUCAUCAUCGUCGUCAUCACCAUCAUCAGUCAAAACUAUUACCAACCCACGAAUCGGACUGGCUUUCGAGUGUGCCGUGUCUAGUUCCUCCAACGUUGCUGCUGUGAAGAAAGUGGUUCAACAGCUCUGGCUGGAGGCUGGGCUCAACUGUGUUAAGGCUUCCCAGGCAAAAGUCAUAGUUGAGUUGAAUUGCAUUGCAUUGCAUCGCAACAAUUCUGUCUGUAGAAUGCCCUACUUCAGGCG